This 582-nucleotide long non-coding RNA is filed under the name Oryctolagus cuniculus (rabbit). RNAcentral describes it as "lncRNA (ENSOCUG00000030080.1)". The record is from RNAcentral. Lineage: Eukaryota; Metazoa; Chordata; Mammalia; Lagomorpha; Leporidae.
AAUAGGUAACUUCUCACAGUGUGGAGGUCAUAAAACAUAAAAUUUAAAAUGCUUAACCUCAGGUUAAUGAUUCAACAGCAUAUUCAUUGAGGGGAAAACCACUUUGGAAGUCAUUCCUGAAGAAUUAUCUCAUCUUUGAAGUAAUGGCCCAUGGCUAAAGAAAUCCCACGGUUCCAGAAAGGAGAGUUGGAAAGAAAAUUUGGAAGAAAUUACUUGAAGAUAAAGAAUUCUCCAAACAAAAGGGAAAUACUGUCCCAAUAUUCAGAGUUAAUUCAAACUCCCUAGUGGGAAGACAAUAUCCAGCUCUGACAAGGGACCACACAGAGGGAUGCUUGGUGUUUCCAAGAGUUCAAUCUGUCCUCCUAGAAAGGAAAGAAAGCAUCAUAUUAUUCUACAUUUGGCUUCAAUCAAGUUCAUUGGAUAUGGUGACUGAGUUUGGAGACUUGCUCUCUUUGUCUCUGUAACAUGUGAGCACACAGCAAGAAAUAGUCAUCUACAAACCAGAAACAGUCAGUGAGCUGUUGAUCUUGAAUUGUACAGCCACCAAAAAUGUGAGAAAAUAAAUUCCUGUUGUUUAAGCCA